This 426-nucleotide ribosomal RNA is filed under the name uncultured bacterium. RNAcentral describes it as "bacterial SSU rRNA". It matches the Rfam family "Bacterial small subunit ribosomal RNA", at positions 355 to 772 of the family's 1533-position model. The record is from RNAcentral.
UGGGGAAUUGUUCGCAAUGGGCGCAAGCCUGACGACGCAACGCCGCGUGGGGGAUGAAGGUCUUCGGAUUGUAAACCCCUGUUGGGAGGGACGAACACUCCUGUGGUGAAUAUCCACGAGAGCUGACGGUACCACCUGAGGAAGCCCCGGCUAACUCUGUGCCAGCAGCCGCGGUAAUACAGAGGGGGCAAGCGUUGUUCGGAAUUACUGGGCGUAAAGGGCGCGUAGGCGGCCCGCUAAGUCGAACGUGAAAUCCCCAGGCUCAACCUGGGAACUGCGUCCGAUACUGGCAGGCUUGAAUCCGGGAGAGGGAUGUGGAAUUCCAGGUGUAGCGGUGAAAUGCGUAGAUAUCUGGAGGAACACCGGUGGCGAAGGCGGCAUCCUGGACCGGUAUUGACGCUGAGGCGCGAAAGCUAGGGGAGCAAA